This 278-nucleotide ribosomal RNA is filed under the name uncultured bacterium. RNAcentral describes it as "partial 16S ribosomal RNA". It matches the Rfam family "Bacterial small subunit ribosomal RNA", at positions 524 to 793 of the family's 1533-position model. The record is from RNAcentral.
UACGUAGGGUGCAAGCGUUGUCCGGAAUUAUUGGGCGUAAAGAGCGUGUAGGCGCCAGGUAGGUCUGCUGUGAAAACUCGAGGCUCAACCAUCGAGACGUCGGCGGAAACCAUCUGGCUAGAGUCCGGAAGAGGAGAGUGGAAUUCCUGGAUGUAGCGGUGAAAUGCGCAGAUAUCGGGAGGAACACCAGUGGCGAAGGGCGAACUACCCUGGCCGUGUUCUUGACGCUGAGGCGCGAAAGCUAGGGGAGCAAAGCGGGAUUAAGAAACCCCGGUGAG